UACGUGGGUGGCAAGCGUUGUCCGGAAUUAUUGGGCGUAAAGCGCGCGCAGGCGGUUCCUUAAGUCUGAUGUGAAAGCCCACGGCUCAACCGUGGAGGGUCAUUGGAAACUGGGGGACUUGAGUGCAGAAGAGGAGAGCGGAAUUCCACGUGUAGCGGUGAAAUGCGUAGAGAUGUGGAGGAACACCAGUGGCGAAGGCGGCCCCCUGGGUCGACACUGACGCUCAUGCACGAAAGCGUGGGGAGCAAACAGG
RNAcentral lists this ribosomal RNA (253 nucleotides) under uncultured bacterium. RNAcentral describes it as "partial 16S ribosomal RNA". It matches the Rfam family "Bacterial small subunit ribosomal RNA", at positions 524 to 776 of the family's 1533-position model. The record is from RNAcentral.